GCUUAGUCGUAAACUUAAAUAGUCCCAAAACAAGACUAUUCGCCAGAGUACUAUCGGCAACAGCCCAAAACUCAAAGGACUUGGCGGUGCUUCAUAUCCUUCUAGAGGAGCCUGUUCUAUAAACGAUAAACCACGAUUAACCUCACCAAUCCUUGCUACUUCAGUCUAUAUACCGCCAUCUUCAGCAAACCCUAAAAAAGGAAUGAAAGUAAGCACAACUAUUGUACAUAAAAACGUUAGGUCAAGGUGUAACCUAUGGAUUGGGAAGAAAUGGGCUACAUUUUCUAUAAUAAGAACACCACUUAAACUUAUACGAAAGUUUUUAUGAAACCUAAAAACUAAAGGAGGAUUUAGCAGUAAAUUAAGAAUAGAAUGCUUAAUUGAAUAAGGCCAUGAAGCACGC
Molecule: ribosomal RNA, 403 nt
Filed under: Steno bredanensis (rough-toothed dolphin)
Lineage: Eukaryota; Metazoa; Chordata; Mammalia; Artiodactyla; Delphinidae
Description: partial 12S ribosomal RNA
Rfam family: Bacterial small subunit ribosomal RNA
Source: RNAcentral